Molecule: long non-coding RNA, 608 nt
Filed under: Sus scrofa (pig)
Lineage: Eukaryota; Metazoa; Chordata; Mammalia; Artiodactyla; Suidae
Description: lncRNA (ENSSSCG00035013990.1)
Source: RNAcentral
CUUUCAUUCAGCUAGGCAAAAAGGCUUCGAGCAGCCCCACAAUUGCCUUUCUCUCAUUUAUUUGUGCUAGAAUUAAGGUUUAUUUGUUUUCUGUUUUCCUCUCCUUCAGACUGUUCCUCUGUCUUUAUCCAUUUAACAAACUGUUUCCUCCUGUAUCUCAGAAGGCUUCACACGGAUAGGGCCUACAUCUGUCUGCAGUCUGCCUACCUUCUUCUUUUGAGUGCAUUUCUCUCAACUCAUUUUGCUGGAGCUCCUAAAUAUCUCUCAAGAUAAACCGCAUGAAUGAGAAUUCUGAUUGGCCAUGGAUAUACCUGGUCCCAGAGGAAAAGGAAGUCUCGUUAAGCAUGUCCUGGGACAAGGGGUCUUUCUGGGACUACAAAUGGUCUCAUGCAGGAUAACAUGCUGCUGUCUCAAAGGGAUGCCUCCGGGCCAUGGUUCUUCCCUGUGGCUCUUGGUUCAGAAAGCUGAGGAGGGCCUGAGAGACUGAAGACCAGCAAAGACAGGAUCGACUAAAUGCCUUCACCUUCCUCUCAAGUUGGAGAUAAAAACCUUGAAUUCUUUUCGGUAUGCUUAGUUUCUGCCUUUUUUUUUUUUUUUUUUUUUCACUU